RNAcentral lists this ribosomal RNA (580 nucleotides) under Fistulina hepatica. RNAcentral's name for it is "partial small subunit ribosomal RNA". It matches the Rfam family "Bacterial small subunit ribosomal RNA", at positions 407 to 947 of the family's 1533-position model. Lineage: Eukaryota; Fungi; Basidiomycota; Agaricomycetes; Agaricales; Fistulinaceae. The record is from RNAcentral.
GACGAGUGACUAGCUAACUGAAAUAAUUAUCUCAGACUAAUCUAGUUUGUGAGCUAUUAUAAUCGAGGGAAAAAAAUGAUUGUCCCAUCGAAAUAAGUGUUGUCCAAUACUGGUGCCAGAAGACUCGGUUACACCAGAAAACACAAACGUUAUUCAUCUUUAUCAGGCGUAAAGGGUUUGUAGGCUGCUUUUUUAAUUAAUAAUUGUUAGCAUUGAUAUAUAUUACAUUUUGUAAUUAUAAUCUAAAUUUUUAAUUUAUCAAAAAAAGCUAGAAUCAUAUAGAGGAAAUUCGAAUAAUACUUGGGGUAGGAUUGACAACUGAAAAACUCAAGCGGAAUACUAAAAGGUGAAAGCUUUUUUUCCACUACUGAUUGACGCUGAGAGACGAAGGUGGUAAUAGAAAAUUGGAUUUGAUACCCAGAUAUCUUCCACAGUCAACGAUGAAUGGUAGUUUGCUAAUCGUUUUACAUUUAUGAUUAGCUUCAAAGUUAACACGUUAACCAUUCCGCCUUGCGAGUACGGUUGCCAAACUGAAACCCCCAAAAAUUAGUCGGUCUUGAAGCACAGCGGAGUGAAGCAU